AGAAUGGGAUGGGAGCUGUUGUGGCCAUCUUUGGAAAAUAUAAAAUGUCACUGAGGGGGAAGGUACAUGUAAGAACUAUGCUCUGCCUCCUUUUUCCUCUUGCCAGUUGGAGCCAAAUCAUUCAGAUUUCCAGAUUGUGAGGAAUCCUUCAGCCCCCGUGGUAUAGCCACUGACACACUAUCCAGCUGCCACAGUUGUGGGUGUUGAACCCUACCCUUACCCUUAGGCCUUCGGUGGAACCACGUGGAUCUCCCCGGGGCCUCCAGGAGGAGAAACGUGCUCUGUCUCCUUGGCCAGGAAAGGUGAAGCUGUGUGACCUAGAACACACACUCCUGACCUCUCUGAGCCACUCCUAGUAGCAGGCUGUGAGCUGCUUGUCUCACUACGUAGCUAGGAAAUAACAGCAUGAAAGUGCCUCAGAAAGGAACUACCAGUGGCUGUACAGUUACUACACAUCGUUAGUAAUAACGGCACUCCCCUCCCAAGAUGACAGCAGAAAGGGAUUCAGCAGCAGAAGGCACAGCUCUUUUGCUUCUGGGUGCCAGCAAACCCUUCAUUGAGCACAUAUUGAGCAUCUGCUGUAUAUCAGGACCUGGGCAGCACCAUGGACACAAUAAUGCACUCGGCGUGCACAGCCCCGGCCCUCAAAGGCCCCCCAUGUUGGCUGUUCCAGAAACACAGGAGCUGGGGAGGUGGCAUCAAAGCAGAGACCUAAAAGAUACUGAAGAAUUAGCCAAAUGGAAAAGACAGGGUGAUUUCCUGAUAGAGGAACUGCAUAUGCAAGGGCCCAGGGUCCAGGGAGCAGGGGGCUCCUGGGGAAAGACCAGCCAUUCUGAUGGCUGGAGCGUAGAGCCUCAGCACCCAUGCAGAGCUUGAGGGGGAUUAAAUAGUAAGCGAAUAAAGAAAGAAAAUGC
This 914-nucleotide long non-coding RNA is filed under the name Pan troglodytes (chimpanzee). RNAcentral's name for it is "long non-coding RNA NONPTRT011286". The record is from RNAcentral. Lineage: Eukaryota; Metazoa; Chordata; Mammalia; Primates; Hominidae.